UAACUUCAAAUUAAGUAGGAAUACCUACUGAACUUAAACAUAUUAAUAAAUAGAGGAAAAGAAAUUAAUAGGGAUUGCCCUAAUAAUAGUAAGUAAAACGGUAAUAGCUCAAAUUUAAAAUCUAGCUUCGGCCUGAAUUAUAAUUUAUAAAGGAAGUUUUUAGUAAGGUACCUUCUGAGUCCCCUAGAAUAGAGCGCUAUAGAGGGUGAGAGCCCUAUAUAGUUAGAUGCUGAUUUAAUAUAAAGUUCCUUCGAUGAGUCGAAUAAUUUAGGAAUAUUAUUUAAAAUAGGAGGUAAAUUUCUUUUAAAGUUAAAUACUAAUUAGAAAUUAAUAGUAUAUAAGUAGAGUAAUUGAAAGAUGAAAAGUACUUUGAAAAGAAAGUUAAAUAGUAUAUAAAAUUAUUGAAAGGGAAGCGUUUGUAAUUAGAUUUGUACUAUUCUAAUUAUUUAGUAUUUUUACUAAUAUAUUUAGGAUGGUUUAAGCUAGUAUUGGUUUUGGUGGAGGGAUAAAGGUCUAGGGAAUAUAGUUCCUCUGGGAAUAUUAUAGCCCCGAGUGUAAUACCCUUACUAGAACCGAGGUUUAUAUAUUUAUAAGGAUGUUAGUAUAAUAAUUAUUAAUAAUUUAUUUUAAAAUACGGACUAAGGAGUUAAGGUUUUGCGCGAAUAUUUAGGUAUAAAACCUAUAUAUAUAAUAAAAGUAAAUAUAAAUGAGAAUUUCGGUAUAUUAUUGACCAAUUUUAAUAUAUUUAAAUAGAUUUAAAUAAGAGCGUUAAAUUUUGGACUCGAAAGAUAGUGAAUUAUAUUUAAAUAGAGUAAAGCUAGAGGAAAUUCUAAUAGAAGUUCAUAGCGGUUCUAAUAUAUAAAUCGAUUAUUAAAUUUAAAUAUAGGGGUAAAAGAUUAAUUGAAUUAUCUAAUAGUUAGUUAUUGCCGAAGUUUCCUUUAAAAUAAUAGUAUUAUUCUUUAGUUUUAUAAGGUAAAGCAAAUAAUUAAGGAUUCGGGGGCGCUUUUUAGCCUUUAUCUAUUUUUAAACUUUAAAUAUAUAAGAAACCCUUGUUAUUUAAUUGAAUAUAGGUAUUCGAAUAUAUUAAUAUUAGUAGGCUAUUUUUAGUAAGUAGAAUUAGUGAUGCGGAAUAAACCGAACGCGGGGUUAAAGUACUGGAGUAGAUGCUUAUUAAAUAUUAUAAAAAGCGUUAAUAUAUUUUAAUAGUAGGACGGUAACUAUAGAAGUUAGAAUUUAUUAAGGAUUAUAUAAUAAUUUAUUUACCGAAUAUAUUAGCCUUGAAAAUAGAUAGUACUUAAGCGUCCUAUUUAUACUCCGCCCUUAGGGUAGAAAUAAUACCUUAAGGAAUAGGCGGUUAUAGAAGUUAGUAACGAAGUUUAGGGCGUAAACUUAGGUUAAAUAGUUUCUAAUAUAGAUUUUGGUAGUAGUAGUAAAUAUUUUAAUAAGAAUUUAAAGGAUUGAAGUAGGGAAAGGUUCUAUAUAAAUAGUAGUUGGAUAUAGGUUAAUCGAUUUUAAAUUAUAGGGAAAUUUUAUUUUAAAAGGGUAUUUAUACUCCGUAUAGCAAAAAGGAAGCCGGUUAAUAUUCCGGUACUUAAAUAUAGGUUUUAUACAAUAAUAUAAUUAAACGCGGAAAUAACGGCGGGGGCCCCGGAUAAAAUUCUCUUUUCUUUUUAAUAAUUUAUUACCCUAAAAAUAAUUUGUUUAAAGAUAGGGUUUAAUAGUCGGAAGAGUCCAAUACUUCUAUUAGGUCUAAUAUAUUUUUAAUAUCCCUUAAAAAUCCGCAAGAGGGAAUAAUUCUUAUAUUAAAUUGUAUUUAUAAUUAUAGUAAGUCUUUAAGGUAAAUAGCCUCUAAUUAAUAGAAUAAUAUAGAUAAGGGAAAUUAGUAAAAUAGAUCUAUAACUUCGGGAAAAGGAUUAGCUCUAAGGGUUAGGUAUAUUAAGCUUUAAAUAAACGCCCUAGGAAUAGAUCGCUACUAAUUAGGUAAUUAGUUAGUAGUUUUUAAUAUCCGGAUAUAGAAGCCUUUAAUAGACUUCGGUUAUCCGGCGUACAUUUAAUAACCAAUUUAGAAUUAGUACGGAUAGGGGGAAUUUAAUUAUUUAAUUAAAAUAUAGUAUUGUAAUAGCUAGAAAGUAGUAUUAAUGUAAUAUAAUUUCUAUUUAGUAUUUUAAAUAUUAAAGUGAAGAAAUUUAAUUAAGUGUGGAUAAACGGCGGGAGUAACUAUAAUUCUUUUAAGGUAGUUAAAUAUUUUAUUAUUUAAUUAAUAAUGCGUAUAAAUAGAUUAACGAAAUUCCUACUAUUCUUAUUUAUUAUUUAGCGAAACUAUAAUUAAGGGAAUAGAUUUAGUAGAAUUAGUGGGGAAAGAAGACCUUAUUAAAUUUAAUUCUAAUUUAAUAUUAUAAAAAGAUAUAGAAGGUGUAGAAUAGGUAGGAGCUUCGGCGCUGGUAAAAUACUACUAUUCUUAUUAUUUUUUUAUUUAUUUAAUUAAGUAGGGUUGGAUUUUCGUUUAAUUUUUAGUUUUAAGGUCCUUCGUAGGCCGACCCGGGUUGAAGAUAUUAUUAAGUAGGGAAUUUAGUUGGGGCAAUAUAUUUAUUAAACUAUAAUGUAGGUAUUCUAAGGGGGGUUUAUAGAGAAUAGAAAUUUCUAGUAGAAUAAAAGGGUAAAAGUCCUUUUAAUUUUGAUUUUUAGUAUAAAUAUAAAUUAUAAAAGUGUAGCCUAUCGAUCCUUUAGUCCUUCGAAAUUUGAGGUUAGAGGUGUUAGAAAAGUUACUAUAAGGAUAAUUAGUUUGUAGCGGUUAAGUAUUUAUAGUAAUAUUGCUUUUUAAUCCUUUAAUAUUGGUUCUUCCUAUUAUACUGAAAUAGAAUUCGGUAAGCGUUAGAUUAUUUACCUACUAAUAGGGAAUGUAAGUUGGGUUUAAACUAUUAUAAGAUAGGUUAGUUUUACCUUACUAAUAAUCUUAUUAUAAUAGUAAUUAAAUUUAGUAUAAGAAGAAUUAUUUAUUUAAAUAAUUGGUUUUUAUAAUUAUCCGACCGGGUAGUAUUAUAACGCUACUAUUUACUAAAUAAUAAUUAAACGCCUCUAAAUUAAAAUCUAUAUUAGAAUAUAAUAAUAUUUUUAGUAUAUUAUAAACGUAUAAAAAUAAGUUCCGGCUUUGUAUUUUAAUAGGCGAUUCCUCUAUUGGCCUUAAAAUAGCUAAUAGUAAUUUGCGUAUUAUAAUUUUAAUACGCGCUAGAUUAAAUCCUUUAUAAAUAAUUUAAAUAUAUAAAAGGGUUUUAUAAAUAAUAGAAUAACUUUAUUAUUAUAAUUUAUUAAGGGUAAACCCUCCUUCGUUUAAAUUUCC
Neurospora crassa OR74A is the source of this 3337-nucleotide ribosomal RNA. It matches the Rfam family "Eukaryotic large subunit ribosomal RNA". Lineage: Eukaryota; Fungi; Ascomycota; Sordariomycetes; Sordariales; Sordariaceae. The record is from Rfam.